This 492-nucleotide ribosomal RNA is filed under the name uncultured bacterium. RNAcentral's name for it is "partial 16S ribosomal RNA". It matches the Rfam family "Bacterial small subunit ribosomal RNA", at positions 29 to 507 of the family's 1533-position model. The record is from RNAcentral.
AGUGAACGCUGGCGGUAGGCCUAACACAUGCAAGUCGAACGGCAGCACAGUAAGAGCUUGCUCUUACGGGUGGCGAGUGGCGGGCGGGUGAGGAAUACAUCGGAAUCUACUUUUUCGUGGGGGAUAACGUAGGGAAACUUACGCUAAUACCGCAUACGACCUACGGGUGAAAGCAUGGGAUCUUCGGACCUUGCGCGAUUGAAUGAGCCGAUGUCGGAUUAGCUAGUUGGCGGGGUAAAGGCCCACCAAGGCGACGAUCCGUAGCUGGUCUGAGAGGAUGAUCAGCCACACUGGAACUGAGACACGGUCCAGACUCCUACGGGAGGCAGCAGUGGGGAAUAUUGGACAAAGGGCGCAAGCCUGAUCCAGCCAUACCGCGUGGGUGAAGAAGGCCUUCGGGUUGUAAAGCCCUUUUGUUGGGAAAGAAAAGCAGCAGGUUAAUACCCCGCUGUUCUGACGGUACCCAAAGAAUAAGCACCGGCUAACUUCGUG